Non-coding RNA from Arachis ipaensis, 400 nucleotides. NCBI's taxonomy places the organism in Eukaryota, Viridiplantae, Streptophyta, Magnoliopsida, Fabales, Fabaceae. The record is from RefSeq and is a predicted model, not a curated record.
AGAUUUUGUAUAGCUAAUAUACUAGGCUUAUCAUAUAUUGUAUUAAAUUUGUUAGGAAGGAAAGAAAAAAAAGAAAGCAAAAGUCGCAAUAUGAUCCAAUCGAUAUUGAAACUAUUGAUAAGGUUGAUUUUUGGGUGACGGAAGAGGUUGUUGAAAAAGAGCCUGAUCUUCCAAGUAAUAUUGAAGACUUGCUUGAUGAGAUUGAUGCUGAUUUAGAUCAAGGUGGUGGUGGUGGUAGUACUAGUACAUUUUAUGCUGCACCACUUGCUUUUUUUGGUCCAAGUAGUGGAAAUGAAGGUGAUGGAAUAAAUGACGCAAAUCUGCAGCAAGUUAUGGAGGAUUUUGAUGAUUGAUGACAAACUUGGAUCAUUUUGAUGCUGCUAUGUUAUGUUUGAUUGGU